Molecule: long non-coding RNA, 1225 nt
Organism: Hibiscus syriacus
Lineage: Eukaryota; Viridiplantae; Streptophyta; Magnoliopsida; Malvales; Malvaceae
Exons: 6
Source: RefSeq, a predicted model, not a curated record
CUUGGACUCGCUCUUCAGCGAUGGAAUCAACUUGCCUCCCCUCAAGGAACAAGGGGUUUGGAAUACUGUCCUUCCGAGACUUUUCACGGCUAUGACCGAGGGAGGUGAAGAUGUGCUGCGGUUCGAGGCCCCCGAUACCCUGGCUAGGGACAAAUUUCUUUUGGUUUAGGGACGAGGAGUUUGCUCGGCAAAAACUUGCCGGUCUAAAUCCGCAUAGCAUUCGGUUAGUUACGGAAUGGCCAUCGAAAAGCAAACUGGCUCCGAAGAUAUAUGGCCUGGCAGAGUCUGCAAUCACCGAAGAAAUGAUCAACCGAGAAAUCAGAGGUGUCAUGACGGUGGAGCAGGCAUUGAAACAGAAAAGGUUGCUCAUACUAGAUUACCACGACUUAUGUUACCAUAUGUCAAGAAUGUCCGAGAGCUUAACGGAACGACAUGUAUGGAUCACGAACAUUUUUUUCUAAAACUCUAACGACACAUUGAGGCGUUAGCCAUUGAGUUAACUCGACCACCGAUGGAUGGAAAGCUGCAGUGGAAACAAGUGUAUGCACCUUCCUGGGAUUCGACGGCGUGUUGGCUCUGGCGGCUAGCGAAAGUUCAUGUCCUCGCUCACGAUGCGAGCUAUCAUCAACUGUAGUCAUUGGUUAAGGACUCAUUGUUUCACUGAGCCUUAUAUUAUCUCAACUAAUCGGCAACUCAGCGUUAUGAAUCCAAUAUAUAGGCUGUUACAUCCCUAUUCCGGUACACGAUAGAGAUUAAUUCACUAGCUCUGAAUCACUGAUCAAUGCCGAUGGGAUUAUAGAGAACGUGUUCUCGCCCAACAAGUACUCGAUUGAGCUUUGUGCCAUUGCCUAUGACUUGGAGUGGCGAUUCGAUCAUCAAGCUCUACGGGCCGAUCUAAUAAGCAGGGAGAUGGCUGAUGAGGAUCCAAAUGCAUCUCAUGGUCUAAGGCUACCCAUCAAUGACUACCCUUUUGCCAAUGAUGGUUUUCUCAUUUGGGAUGCUUUGGGACAAUGUGUUCGGCUUAUGUCAACCUUACUACCCGAAUGCGAAUCUCAUCGAGUCGGAUAACGAGCUUCUAGAAUGGUGGAACGAAAUUCGUACAGUCGGUCACGGUGACAAAAAGGAUCAACCAUGGUGGCCUGUUCUAAGAAACCACAAGACCUUAUUAGUAUCAUCAAACUAUUAUCUGGGCCACUUCGGAACACCACGCAGCAGUGAACUUCGG